AUUGAACGCUGGCGGCAGGCCUAACACAUGCAAGUCGAACGAGUGGCGGACGGGUGAGGAAUGUCUGGGAAAAUGCCUGAUGGAGGGGGAUAACUACUGGAAACGGUAGCUAAUACCGCAUAACCUCAGAUGUGCAACGAUGGGAGUAGUUAGUGGGUGGGGUAACGGUUCACCAAGGCGACGAUCCCUAGCUGGUCUGAGAGGAUGACCAGCCCAACUGGAACGGAGACACGGUCCAGACUCCUACGGGAGGCAGCAGUGGGGAAUAUUGAACAAUGGGCGCAAGCCUGAUGCAGCCAUGCCGCGUGUAUGAAGAAGGCCUUCGGGUUGUAAAGUACUUUCAGCGGGGAGGCGUUACCCGCAGAAGAAGCACCGGCUAACUACGUGCCAGCCGCCGCGGUAAUAC
RNAcentral lists this ribosomal RNA (406 nucleotides) under uncultured bacterium. RNAcentral describes it as "partial 16S ribosomal RNA". It matches the Rfam family "Bacterial small subunit ribosomal RNA", at positions 30 to 526 of the family's 1533-position model. The record is from RNAcentral.